UAGAUUGAAGCCAGUUUAGGGUUUUUGACUGUUAAUUAAAAUUUCGUAGGUUUGAAUCCUACCAAUCUAG
This 70-nucleotide transfer RNA is filed under the name Aethomys nyikae (Nyika rock rat). RNAcentral describes it as "tRNA-Asn". It matches the Rfam family "tRNA". Rfam says of the family: Transfer RNA (tRNA) molecules are approximately 80 nucleotides in length. Their secondary structure includes four short double-helical elements and three loops (D, anti-codon, and T loops). The record is from RNAcentral. Lineage: Eukaryota; Metazoa; Chordata; Mammalia; Rodentia; Muridae.